This 730-nucleotide ribosomal RNA is filed under the name uncultured bacterium. RNAcentral's name for it is "SSU rRNA". It matches the Rfam family "Bacterial small subunit ribosomal RNA", at positions 507 to 1238 of the family's 1533-position model. The record is from RNAcentral.
GCCAGCCGCCGCGGUAAUACGGAAGGUGCAAGCGUUAAUCGGAAUUACUGGGCGUAAAGCGCGCGUAGGUGGUUUGUUAAGUUGGAUGUGAAAGCCCUGGGCUCAACCUAGGAACUGCAUCCAAAACUAACUCACUAGAGUACGAUAGAGGGAGGUAGAAUUCAUAGUGUAGCGGUGGAAUGCGUAGAUAUUAUGAAGAAUACCAGUGGCGAAGGCGGCCUCCUGGAUCUGUACUGACACUGAGGUGCGAAAGCGUGGGUAGCGAACAGGAUUAGAUACCCUGGUAGUCCACGCCGUAAACGAUGACAACUAGCUGUUGGGAGACAAUGUCUUUCAGUGGCGCAGCUAACGUUUUAAGUUGUCCGCCUGGGGAGUACGGCCGCAAGGCUAAAACUCAAAUGAAUUGACGGGGACCCGCACAAGCGGUGGAGCAUGUGGUUUAAUUCGAUGCAACGCGAAAAACCUUACCUACUCUUGACAUACUUGGGAGCUCUUGUAAUGAGAGUGUGCCUUUUGGAACCAAGAUACAGGUGCUGCAUGGCUGUCGUCAGCUCGUGUCGUGAGAUGUUCCGUUAAGUCGGAUAACGAGCGCAACCCUUACCCUUAUUUGCCAGCGAUUCGGUCGGGAACUAUAAGGGGACUGCCGGUGAUAAACCGGAGGAAGGUGAGGACGACGUCAAGUCAUCAUGGCCCUUACGAGUAGGGCUACACACGUGCUACAAUGGGGAAU